This 252-nucleotide ribosomal RNA is filed under the name uncultured bacterium. RNAcentral describes it as "partial 16S ribosomal RNA". It matches the Rfam family "Bacterial small subunit ribosomal RNA", at positions 524 to 776 of the family's 1533-position model. The record is from RNAcentral.
UACGUAGGGGGCUAGCGUUGUCCGGAUUUAUUGGGCGUAAAGAGCGUGUAGGCGGCCAGGUAGGUCAGCUGUGAAACUCGAGGCUCAACCUCGAGACGCCGGUUGAAACCAUCUGGCUAGAGUCCGGAAGAGGAGAGUGGAAUUCCUGGUGUAGCGGUGAAAUGCGUAGAUAUUGGGAGGAACACCAGUGGCGAAGGCGGCUCACUGGACCGGUACUGACGCUGAUGCGCGAAAGCGUGGGGAGCGAUCCGG